This 337-nucleotide unclassified non-coding RNA is filed under the name soil metagenome. Its description in RNAcentral is "partial contains 5.8S ribosomal RNA, internal transcribed spacer 2, and large subunit ribosomal RNA". The stretch from base 1 to 120 matches the Rfam family "5.8S ribosomal RNA", at positions 35 to 154 of the family's 154-position model. The record is from RNAcentral.
GAUGAAGAACGCAGCGAAAUGCGAUAAGUAAUGUGAAUUGCAGAAUUCAGUGAAUCAUCGAAUCUUUGAACGCACAUUGCGCCCGCCAGUAUUCUGGCGGGCAUGCCUGUUCGAGCGUCAUUUCAACCAUCAAGCCCCCGGCUUGUGUUGGGGACCUGCGGCUGCCGCAGGCCCUGAAAAGCAGUGGCGGGCUCGCUGUCACACCGAGCGUAGUAGCAUACAUCUCGCUCUGGGCGUGCUGCGGGUUCCGGCCGUUAAACCACCUUCAUAACCCAAGGUUGACCUCGGAUCAGGUAGGAAGACCCGCUGAACUUAAGCAUAUCCAAUAAGCGGAGGA